Molecule: ribosomal RNA, 723 nt
Filed under: Klebsiella pneumoniae
Lineage: Bacteria; Pseudomonadati; Pseudomonadota; Gammaproteobacteria; Enterobacterales; Enterobacteriaceae
Description: bacterial SSU rRNA
Rfam family: Bacterial small subunit ribosomal RNA
Source: RNAcentral
ACGCCGUAAACGAUGUCGAUUUGGAGGUUGUGCCCUUGAGGCGUGGCUUCCGGAGCUAACGCGUUAAAUCGACCGCCUGGGGAGUACGGCCGCAAGGUUAAAACUCAAAUGAAUUGACGGGGGCCCGCACAAGCGGUGGAGCAUGUGGUUUAAUUCGAUGCAACGCGAAGAACCUUACCUGGUCUUGACAUCCACAGAACUUUCCAGAGAUGGAUUGGUGCCUUCGGGAACUGUGAGACAGGUGCUGCAUGGCUGUCGUCAGCUCGUGUUGUGAAAUGUUGGGUUAAGUCCCGCAACGAGCGCAACCCUUAUCCUUUGUUGCCAGCGGUUAGGCCGGGAACUCAAAGGAGACUGCCAGUGAUAAACUGGAGGAAGGUGGGGAUGACGUCAAGUCAUCAUGGCCCUUACGACCAGGGCUACACACGUGCUACAAUGGCAUAUACAAAGAGAAGCGACCUCGCGAGAGCAAGCGGACCUCAUAAAGUAUGUCGUAGUCCGGAUUGGAGUCUGCAACUCGACUCCAUGAAGUCGGAAUCGCUAGUAAUCGUAGAUCAGAAUGCUACGGUGAAUACGUUCCCGGGCCUUGUACACACCGCCCGUCACACCAUGGGAGUGGGUUGCAAAAGAAGUAGGUAGCUUAACCUUCGGGAGGGCGCUUACCACUUUGUGAUUCAUGACUGGGGUGAAGUCGUAACAAGGUAACCGUAGGGGAACCUGCGGUUG